RNAcentral lists this small RNA (27 nucleotides) under Bombyx mori (domestic silkworm). RNAcentral describes it as "ovarian small RNA-10575". Lineage: Eukaryota; Metazoa; Arthropoda; Insecta; Lepidoptera; Bombycidae. The record is from RNAcentral.
AAGCCAGAUAACAAAAGGGUUGACAGC